This 496-nucleotide ribosomal RNA is filed under the name uncultured bacterium. RNAcentral's name for it is "partial 16S ribosomal RNA". It matches the Rfam family "Bacterial small subunit ribosomal RNA", at positions 29 to 507 of the family's 1533-position model. The record is from RNAcentral.
AUGAACGCUGGCGGCGUGCCUAAUACAUGCAAGUCGAGCGAACAGACGAGGAGCUUGCUCCUCUGACGUUAGCGGCGGACGGGUGAGUAACACGUGGAUAACCUACCUAUAAGACUGGGAUAACUUCGGGAAACCGGAGCUAAUACCGGAUAAUAUAUUGAACCGCAUGGUUCAAUAGUGAAAGACGGUUUUGCUGUCACUUAUAGAUGGAUCCGCGCCGCAUUAGCUAGUUGGUAAGGUAACGGCUUACCAAGGCAACGAUGCGUAGCCGACCUGAGAGGGUGAUCGGCCACACUGGAACUGAGACACGGUCCAGACUCCUACGGGAGGCAGCAGUAGGGUAUCUUCCGCAAUGGGCGAAAGCCUGACGGAGCAACGCCGCGUGAGUGAUGAAGGUCUUCGGAUCGUAAAACUCUGUUAUUAGGGAAGAACAAAUGUGUAAGUAACUAUGCACGUCUUGACGGUACCUAAUCAGAAAGCCACGGCUAACUACGUG